UCCAGACUCCUACGGGAGGCAGCAGUGGGGGAUAUUGCACAAUGGGGGAAACCCUGAUGCAGCGACGCCGCGUGAGUGAAGAAGUAUUUCGGUAUGUAAAGCUCUAUCAGCAGGGAAGAAGAUGACAGUACCUGAGUAAGAAGCCCCGGCUAACUACGUGCCAGCAGCCGCGGUAAUACGUAGGGGGCAAGCGUUAUCCGGAUUUACUGGGUGUAAAGGGAGCGUAGACGGUUAUGUAAGUCUGGAGUGAAAGCCCGGGGCCCAACCCCGGGACUGCUUUGGAAACUGUGUAACUAGAGUGCAGGAGGGGCAGGCGGAAUUCCUGGUGUAGCGGUGAAAUGCGUAGAUAUCAGGAGGAACACCGGCGGCGAAGGCGGCCUGCUGGACUGAAACUGACGUUGAGGCUCGAAAGCGUGGGGAGCAAACAGGAUUAGAUACCCUGGUAGU
This 447-nucleotide ribosomal RNA is filed under the name uncultured bacterium. RNAcentral describes it as "bacterial SSU rRNA". It matches the Rfam family "Bacterial small subunit ribosomal RNA", at positions 330 to 794 of the family's 1533-position model. The record is from RNAcentral.